AGCUCCAAUAGCGUAUAUUAAAGCUGUUGCGGUUAAAAAGCUCGUAGUUGGAUUUCUGUCAAGGACAACUGGUCCGCCCUCCGGGUGAGUACACAGCUUGGUCUUGGCAUCUUGUUGGAACCUGCACUGUGCUUGGCUGUAUGGCGCAGGGUUCAGCACUUUCACUUUGAGGAAAUUGGAGUGUUUCAAGCAGGCACAUGCCUUUGGACACAGUAGCAUGGAAUAAUUAGAUUGGGCCUUUGCUCCAUCUUGUCGGUUCAUGGAGCUGAGGUGAGAGUUAAUGGGAAUUGUUGGGGGCAUCCG
This 303-nucleotide ribosomal RNA is filed under the name uncultured eukaryote. RNAcentral's name for it is "SSU rRNA". It matches the Rfam family "Eukaryotic small subunit ribosomal RNA", at positions 587 to 894 of the family's 1831-position model. The record is from RNAcentral.